This 222-nucleotide long non-coding RNA is filed under the name Prunus persica (peach). RNAcentral's name for it is "long non-coding RNA (PPER_LNC000324)". Lineage: Eukaryota; Viridiplantae; Streptophyta; Magnoliopsida; Rosales; Rosaceae. The record is from RNAcentral.
GGAAAACAAUCAUCAAUUAACCAAAUAACAGAAUAAAAACAACAUGAAAUAUAUUCUAUAUAUAUCAACAAAUCAAAUUAAUACACUAGAGUUCAAUACGACAGUAGAAUUAAGUAGAAACAACUAACUUAGUUGGGUGAUAAACUCUUGCAGAGUUUCAAUGUCCUUUAAAAAUAUUUUUCCUCUACUUCUAGUGCUUCUAUUUCGAUAGGAGAUUGCCCA